GGGUGUGUAGCUCAGAGGCAGAGCAGACGGCUGUUAACCGUCAGGUCGAGAUUUCGAAAUUCUCCACGCCCGCCA
RNAcentral lists this transfer RNA (75 nucleotides) under Vibrio phage V09. RNAcentral's name for it is "tRNA-Asn". It matches the Rfam family "tRNA". Rfam says of the family: Transfer RNA (tRNA) molecules are approximately 80 nucleotides in length. Their secondary structure includes four short double-helical elements and three loops (D, anti-codon, and T loops). RNAcentral also lists the same sequence under 1 other name. Lineage: Duplodnaviria; Heunggongvirae; Uroviricota; Caudoviricetes; Pantevenvirales; Straboviridae. The record is from RNAcentral.